GUGCCAGCCGCCGCGGUAAUACGUAGGUGGCAAGCGUUAUCCGGAAUUAUUGGGCGUAAGGCGCGCGUAGGCGGUUUUUUAAGUCUGAUGUGAAAGCCCACGGCUCAACCGUGGAGGGUCAUUGGAAACUGGAAAACUUGAGUGCAGAAGAGGAAAGUGGAAUUCCAUGUGUAGCGGUGAAAUGCGCAGAGAUAUGGAGGAACACCAGUGGCGAAGGCGACUUUCUGGUCUGUAACUGACGCUGAUGUGCGAAAGCGUGGGGAUCAAACAGGAUUAGA
Molecule: ribosomal RNA, 278 nt
Filed under: uncultured Staphylococcus sp.
Lineage: Bacteria; Bacillati; Bacillota; Bacilli; Caryophanales; Staphylococcaceae
Description: partial 16S ribosomal RNA
Rfam family: Bacterial small subunit ribosomal RNA
Source: RNAcentral